AGCACCACAACGGGUGGAGCUUGCGGUUUAAUUGGAUUCAACGCCGGAAUCUUACCGGGACCGACAGCAAUAUGAAGGCCAGGCUGAAGACUUUGCCGGAUUAGCUGAGAGGUGGUGCAUGGCCGUCGUCAGUUCGUACUGUGAAGCAUCCUGUUAAGUCAGGCAACGAGCGAGACCCACGCCCACAGUUGCCAGCGUACUCUCUGGAGUGACGGGUACACUGUGGGACCGCCGCUGCUAAAGCGGAGGAAGGAAUGGGCAACGGUAGGUCAGUAUGCCCCGAAUAUCCCGGGCUACACGCGAGCUACAAUGGUUGGUACAAUGGGUAUCUACCCCGAAAGGGGACGGGAAUCUCCUAAAACCAAUCUUAGUUCGGAUUGAGGGCUGCAACUCGCCCUCAUGAAGCUGGAAUCCGUAGUAAUCGCGUUUCAACAGAACGCGGUGAAUACGUCCCUGCUCCUU
RNAcentral lists this ribosomal RNA (462 nucleotides) under uncultured Methanosaeta sp. Its description in RNAcentral is "bacterial SSU rRNA". It matches the Rfam family "Archaeal small subunit ribosomal RNA", at positions 875 to 1338 of the family's 1478-position model. The record is from RNAcentral. Lineage: Archaea; Methanobacteriati; Methanobacteriota; Methanomicrobia; Methanotrichales; Methanotrichaceae.